This is a long non-coding RNA of Carassius gibelio (silver crucian carp), 1506 nucleotides long. RefSeq lists it as uncharacterized. The transcript has 3 exons. The record is from RefSeq and is a predicted model, not a curated record. NCBI's taxonomy places the organism in Eukaryota, Metazoa, Chordata, Actinopteri, Cypriniformes, Cyprinidae.
UGUCUUUCCACAGUCAGGAAAAGGCAAGUCUGUAGCUUUUAAACCAAGAGUCUUGUGACCAGCGUGACCAUCUGUCUUUCAAUUUUAUCAACUGUUUAUUUUCUGUAUAGAAAAUAUAGUCUGUAAUGUUGCUGUUUGAGCACAAAAAAAGAUCUGCGAAGUUACAAAGCUCAAAGUCCACUUCAAAAGGACAUAUUUUAAUCAACUGAAAUCACUUUCAAAAACUACUACAAAUGACUUCUUUGGACUACAACGUAUAUAUUUCUGGGAUUGUGAUAUCACAAAUACAGACAAAUGGUAUGAGACCUGGUUGAGCUGCACUAGAGAAGGCAAACGAGUAUUAUCACUAUCUCAGAGACAUGCUAGCUUUCCCAAGUCAAAUGAACUUCGAGUGAUUACAAUCAUACAGGUUCAAAUCAUGCUCAAAUUGAUUUGAUUUUGACACAGUAUUGACACAGUACACACUUGCCCAGCUAACCAAUCACAACACACACUGGCCCAGCUAAUCGAUCACAGCACACACUGGCCCAGCUAACCGAUCACAACACACACUUGCCCAGCUAACCGAUCACAGCACACACUUGCCCAGCUAACCGAUCACAGCACACACUUGCCCAGCUAACCGAUCACAGCACACACUUGCCCAGCUAACCGAUCACAGCACACAAUUUCCCAGCUAACCGAUCACAGCACACACUUGCCCAGCUAACCGAUCACAGCACACACUUGCCCAGCUAACCGAUCACAGCACACACUUGCCCAGCUAACCGAUCACAACACACACUGGCCCAGCUAACCGAUCACAGCACACACUUGCCCAGCUAACCGAUCACAGCACACACUGGCCCAGCUAACCGAUCACAGCACACACUGGCCCAUCUAACCGAUCACAGCACACACUUGCCCAGCUAAACGAUCAUAGCACACACUUGCCCAGCUAAUCGAUCACAGCACACACUUGCCCAGCUAAUCGAUCACAGCACUAGGUUAAACGUGAAUGUACAAGGAAACAAAACCUAAAGCGCUUAAGCUCAGUUAUGGUAGGUUUAUCUGCUCACGUUUUGUUCACUUGAUUUUGCGCCAACUUUAUAUCACAAACAAGUGAGCUCAUAAUAUUAUACAUGAAUGAUAUGAUUAACUACCACACAAUGAAUCAUAAUUGGAUCAUAAUUGAAGUUGCAGCAAACAAACAGGAGAGACCCAGUGUUAUCGCACAAGGAUGCAAAUCUAUGGAAUCGGUUUCAAAUGGUUCGCUUCACUUCACUGCACAUUACAGAGCCACCGAGUCUGAUCACACGGAGAAAUGAUUUUAGAUGACCCACUUACUUAUCAAUUAAACUAUAAACUGUGCUCUUCAUAUAAAAAUAAAUAUUCUAGGAAAAUAUUUUUUUUGGAAAACACUAGUCUUUUGUCAGUAAAUGGACUGAGCUGACUGGGGGGCAAUCAUGAAACUACUGUUUAGAUUUUCUUGAAUACUCUGUGAGUAUGUGUUUACCAAUUGCUUUU